Molecule: ribosomal RNA, 759 nt
Filed under: uncultured Enterobacteriaceae bacterium
Lineage: Bacteria; Pseudomonadati; Pseudomonadota; Gammaproteobacteria; Enterobacterales; Enterobacteriaceae
Description: bacterial SSU rRNA
Rfam family: Bacterial small subunit ribosomal RNA
Source: RNAcentral
AUUGAACGCUGGCGGCAGGCCUAACACAUGCAAGUCGAACGGUAACAGGAAGAAGCUUGCUUCUUUGCUGACGAGUGGCGGACGGGUGAGUAAUGUCUGGGAAACUGCCUGAUGGAGGGGGAUAACUACUGGAAACGGUAGCUAAUACCGCAUAACGUCGCAAAACCAAAGAGGGGGACCUUCGGGCCUCUUGCCAUCGGAUGUGCCCAGAUGGGAUUAGCUAGCAGGUGGGGUAACGGCUCACCUAGGCGACGAUCCCUAGCUGGUCUGAGAGGAUGACCAGCCACACUGGAACUGAGACACGGUCCAGACUCCUACGGGAGGCAGCAGUGGGGAAUAUUGCACAAUGGGCGCAAGCCUGAUGCAGCCAUGCCGCGUGUAUGAAGAAGGCCUUCGGGUUGUAAAGUACUUUCAGCGGGGAGGAAGGGAGUAAAGUUAAUACCUUUGCUCAUUGACGUUACCCGCAGAAGAAGCACCGGCUAACUCCGUGCCAGCAGCCGCGGUAAUACGGAGGGUGCAAGCGUUAAUCGGAAUUACUGGGCGUAAAGCGCACGCAGGCGGUUUGUUAAGUCAGAUGUGAAAUCCCCGGGCUCAACCUGGGAACUGCAUCUGAUACUGGCAAGCUUGAGUCUCGUAGAGGGGGGUAGAAUUCCAGGUGUAGCGGUGAAAUGCGUAGAGAUCUGGAGGAAUACCGGUGGCGAAGGCGGCCCCCUGGACGAAGACUGACGCUCAGGUGCGAAAGCGUGGGGAGCAAACAGG